Molecule: non-coding RNA, 29 nt
Filed under: Agaricus bisporus (cultivated mushroom)
Lineage: Eukaryota; Fungi; Basidiomycota; Agaricomycetes; Agaricales; Agaricaceae
Also listed under: 17 other names
Source: RNAcentral
AACUUUCAGCAACGGAUCUCUUGGCUCUC